This 942-nucleotide long non-coding RNA is filed under the name Homo sapiens (human). Its description in RNAcentral is "HSALNT0370699". The record is from RNAcentral. Lineage: Eukaryota; Metazoa; Chordata; Mammalia; Primates; Hominidae.
AGACUUCAUUUCUGCUCUUACAGGGCUUACAUUUGAGUGUUUUCUCUUCAAGAACCUGGACGUUUAGUCUAGGUUGUGUCUUCCGUGAGAAAGGCUGGCGUUGGGUAAGGCUGGAGAGACUGGAGCCAAGGACUCUGCAGGCCUUGAAGAUGCAAGCUGGUAUGAUGUGAACUGCCACAUGGCAGGGAACUGCAGGUACCCUCGAGGACGUGAGGACCUCAUUCUUACAUCUGCAAGAAACCAAAUUCUGCGGACAGCUAUGUGAACUUUAAAAGAAGACCUGGAACCUCCAGAAAGGAAUGCAGCCUGGCCAAUGUGCUGAUUGCAUCCUUGUGAGACUCUGAGCCAGAGGACCCAGCUAAACUCUGCCUGGACUCCUGACCCACGGAAACUGUAAGAUAAUAAACGUGUGUUGUUUUAAGCUGCCAAAUUUGUAGUAAUUUGUUACACAGCAACGGAAAACGAAUUCAGUUGGAGAUCUGGCCACCCUCUGCUAAAUAUACAUAUUAGUGAUUUUUAGUCCUUCCAGCUUUGAGUUCCAGUAACCUUUGCUGAGCAGUUGCAUGUGUCAGCAUGGUGUUUCCAUGUUCUAGACAUGAUCUCAUUUCACAGGGACUGAGAACAGGCAUCCUGAAGGUGCUUACUAGCUUUGUGUUCUUGGGCAAGUUACUUACCCUCUCUGGGUCUUGCUUUCCUUAUCUUCAAAAUGGGGCUAAGUAGUAGCACCGGCUCAUUUGGGUUAUAUAAGGGUUAAAUGACUAGUGCAUGUAAAGAAUUUGGAAGGGUACCUGGAUGAACAGUGCUUAAAAAUGUCAGUGAUUAUAGUUAAUAUUAACAAUAUUACAUAUAUUAAUAGGACAUUGUUGCUAUUACUGUCAUCAUUAUUAAUCUAUGCAGUAGAUGGUGAGCUCUCCAUUUUACAGAUGGGAAACCGAGGGCUAA